Poecilia latipinna (sailfin molly) is the source of this 1451-nucleotide long non-coding RNA. RefSeq lists it as uncharacterized. The record is from RefSeq and is a predicted model, not a curated record. The transcript is spliced from 3 exons. NCBI's taxonomy places the organism in Eukaryota, Metazoa, Chordata, Actinopteri, Cyprinodontiformes, Poeciliidae.
UUGUAUUUGUUGUAGCUUCCAAAUGUGUUAAAACUGUCAUGUGUUCUGCUUUAUUUGUUCUCCUAUAUCAAUGUGACUCAGAUUAAUCUCAACUAUGCCAAUAGCUGGAUGAUAAUAUGGUGUGGUGGGAUUUAUGUAUUUGUUUUUCAUGAAAACAUUGGCAGACUUGCGUGAGGUGUUGUUGACAAAGCGUGUGUGUGUUUAUUUGCAUGUAAAGCAGAGAAAUGUGAUCAGAUCAUUAAGAGUGAAUUUUAAUACCAGGUGCGAAUGGUCAGCCUGCACCCUGCCUACUUUUACCUGAAUCUGCCAAGAUGCAAGUUAGCACCAGGUGUGAACAGGGUCCGACUCUGAGCCUUUUGGGGUCAAACACUCCUGGAGUGUUUCGAAACAAACAAUGACUGUGUGGGAAAGAGCGUCACAGUCACCGUUAAAUACAGAACAGGAUGUAUGAUGCUGUGGGUCCAUUUACUCUUUUCAAAUAGCCUGAGAACCUUUUAAGAAUGCAUGUAAUCGUGAACUUGAAAGUUUUCAAUUAAAUAUUGGGUGGAAAAUUGAAGAUGGAUUGUCUCUGUGACUUUUAGCAGGAUAAUGAUCCCAAAUGUGAGGAUAGAAUAGCACAGUAAAACACAUUAACACAGGGAAAUUCUGCAAAGAGGAUCAGUCAACGAUCGCCCCUUUUGUUUGUCAUAGGAGAAGACUAAAUUAUCUACAAAAUCAAUUAGUGCAAUACUGGAAAUUAAGACUUUUUUCUUCAGAGAAAGAUUGUGCUAAUUGAAAAAAGAUUAAUUUGUUUGUCCUUUACACAAAUCUGAGGUAAAUGGGGAGGGUGUCAUAAAGAAGAAAGUGAACCACUGAAAAAUACAGUAAUCAUUUACAUUUGAGUGAUUAAUCCUGGAUUUAUCUUUUCCAAAGCACACGUCAACCACUUUUCAAAUAGUUUGAAAUGUAAAAAAAAGUAAAAGUUAAACCCACAUAUGAGUUAUCUCAUAUUUUAUACGCCAAGAUCAUAUACAUUUCUGAAGAUUUUUUUUUUAUUGUCUAAUAUUAAUAUUAGUUAUUAGCUGCUUUUCUGAGGCUGUUCAGCCUUUCUGAAGAACAUAUAAACAAAACCAAUAUUUAGGCAAUCAAACAUCCAAAUAUUUGAAGAUGCUCUGAAGCUUUAACCUGCCCCUUCACAACUGACUGAAAUACAAACUAGGAAUGAGUCUAAAAGUAGGAGAUAAUAAUAUGACUUUUGUAACCUUGGAUACAGUAUGCAGCACCCACAUGAACCUUGACAUUAAAGUUAUUUGCCUAACAAUCUAAGCAGUGGUAUUGAUGUUGUGACUGAGCACACUAGCAGAGCCUGCAGGAAAAGCUUGGUCACUAAUCUAAAAAAAAAAACAAACAAAAAAAAAACUAAUUCUUAUCACCUUUUACAUUCAGUUAUUGGAAAAAUAACUAUUAAAGAA